This 796-nucleotide ribosomal RNA is filed under the name Torula submersa. Its description in RNAcentral is "Torula sp. WT-2022d partial large subunit ribosomal RNA". It matches the Rfam family "Eukaryotic large subunit ribosomal RNA", at positions 94 to 906 of the family's 3401-position model. The record is from RNAcentral. Lineage: Eukaryota; Fungi; Ascomycota; Dothideomycetes; Pleosporales; Torulaceae.
UGAAGCGGCAACAGCUCAAAUUUGAAAUCUGGCCCCCUCGGGGCCCGAGUUGUAAUUUGCAGAGGGAGCUUUUGGCGUCGGUCGUGGUCUAAGUUCCUUGGAACAGGACGUCACAGAGGGUGAGAAUCCCGUACGUGGCCGCCGGCCUUCGCCUUGUAAAGCCCCUUCGACGAGUCGAGUUGUUUGGGAAUGCAGCUCUAAAUGGGAGGUAAAUUCCUUCUAAAGCUAAAUACCCGCCAGAGACCGAUAGCGCACAAGUAGAGUGAUCGAAAGAUGAAAAGCACUUUGGAAAGAGAGUGAAAAAGCACGUGAAAUUGUUGAAAGGGAAGCGCUUGCGGCUAGACGUGCCCGCGGUUGAUCAUCCAGGCUCCGGCCUGGUGCACUCCUCCGCGGGCAGGCCAGCAUCAGUUCGGGCGGUCGGAUAAAGGCCUCUGUCACGUACCACCCCUCGGGGUGGCCUUAUAGGGGAGGCGCAACACGGCCAGCCCGGACUGAGGUUCCGCGCAUCUGCUAGGAUGCUGGCGUAAUAGCAGCAAGCGGCCCGUCUUGAAACACGGACCAAGGAGUCUAACAUCUAUGCGAGUGUUUGGGUGUCAAGCCCGAGCGCGCAAUGAAAGUGAACGGAGGUGGGAACCCUCACGGGUGCACCAUCGACCGAUCCUGAUGUCUUCGGAUGGAUUUGAGUAAGAGCAUAGCUGUUGGGACCCGAAAGAUGGUGAACUAUGCCUGAAUAGGGUGAAGCCAGAGGAAACUCUGGUGGAGGCUCGCAGCGGUUCUGACGUGCAAAUCGAUCGUC